CGUGGGGCUGGGACAGAGAUAAAAAAAAAAACAUUACCCAAACCCGUAUUUGUUUCUGUGCAGUUCCUCUUGGCGUUUCUCUCCUCUCUCCUGAUCCCUUUGUUUUUCCUUCUCUUUGCUCUGAUACCCUUUUCUCCCCCAUUGUACCUGAGCAGUGGGUUCUAGGACAGCAAGAUCCACCCCUCCCUCCCUGUCAUCUGUGUGGGAUGUCAUAAGGAAGCAGGGAUCUCCCUGUGUUCCAUCUGAUUUACCUGGAUACAGUUGCUUAAAUAUCCUCCUUUUUGGGGGGAUUGACUUCUGCAGAUGAAAAAGGAGAGAAACUAAACAAGGCAGCGCGGUGAACGCUGGGAAUUUUAUAUUGUCUAUUUUUUUGUAUUAUUAUUUUUUUAAUUAUCCAAUUUCUGGAAAACUCUCUGGCUUUUCAGAGGAUUUAUUGAUGCUGGUUGGAGAAGACAUGAUCCCUGUUUUGAUGUCCUAGGACGGGGGAAGCUAUAAGGCAAAGAUGAAGAGUUUGCAGUGUGCUGGUCUCUUAUUGCUCUCUGUUGUACUGGAG
Non-coding RNA from Pelobates cultripes (western spadefoot toad), 553 nucleotides. Lineage: Eukaryota; Metazoa; Chordata; Amphibia; Anura; Pelobatidae. The record is from the annotation of a GenBank genome assembly.